RNA transcript from Prosopis cineraria, 670 nucleotides. RefSeq lists it as uncharacterized. NCBI's taxonomy places the organism in Eukaryota, Viridiplantae, Streptophyta, Magnoliopsida, Fabales, Fabaceae. The transcript has 4 exons. The record is from RefSeq and is a predicted model, not a curated record.
UGGCAGAUAGGUCGAGCCCAAUGCGCACGAACAAGGAAAUAGGUAGGUGGCAUGGAAAAGUUGGGAAAAGCCCACGCUGCAGCAACCAUUGGCAUUGCAUUGACUAUUAAAUUUGGAGGGAACAAAGGUUGCGUCGUCGAAUUCACGAAUAGUAGAACGCAGCUGAUCCGGGUACUUCUGGAGCAGAACCAGUUGUUUAUUUUCUCUCAUGCUGCACAAUUCCUUCUUUCUCCAACCAAAUUCAGUUUUGUAGUGUUCUUUUCUCUCGUUUGCUGAUAUCAAUUUCUGCUCGCCAUUUUAUUGUGCUGUCCGUUGUUUCCUGGAAAAAUAAACCAAUUGCCGAAUGACAUCGUUCAGGCCAAGGUCGUGGUUGUUGGACGUGCCUCCCUCUGUCGCUUGACCCCUUUUCUGAUCUUCCGUCGAGCUGCUUCUGCCCUUGAAAGAUAUGAAUUGGGUUCAGCGCAAGAUCUACCUCUACAAUGUAACUUUUGGCCUUUAUAUGCUAGACUGGUGGGAGCGUUGUCUUUUUAAUUUUCCUGAGCUCAUAAGCGAUCCUGCUAGCUGGGCUUUGUACUUGUGACUUCCUGAAUUUUUUCCAGAUAUUUUGGUGAUUGUACUUCUGUGGUUUGUACUCUACAACUGGUCGCGAUAUGCCAAUGAAUUCCUCAAG